GACGAACGCUGGCGGCGUGCUUAACACAUGCAAGUCGAACGGAAAGGCCUGCUUUCCCUUGUGGAUUGUGGGUACUCGAGUGGCGAACGGGUGAGUAACACGUGAGUGAUCUGCCCCCAACUUGGGUAUAAGCCUGGGAAACUGGGUCUAAUUCCCGAUAGGACUGCAGGGUGGUGCCUGUGGUGGAAAACGAUUUUCUAGUGGUUGGGGAUGAGCUCGCGGCCUAUCAGCUUGUUGGUGGGGUAAUGGCCUACCAAGGCGGCGACGGGUAGCCGGCCUGAGAGGGUGGACGGCCACAUUGGGACUGAGAUACGGCCCAGACUCCUACGGGAGGCAGCAGUGGGGAAUAGUGCACAAUGGGCGGAAGCCUGAUGCAGCGACGCCGCGUGGGGGAUGACGGCCUUCGGGUGGUAAACUCCUUUCGACCGCGAGGAAGCCACCUGGUUGGAAGGGUGGUGACGGUAGUGGUAGAAGAAGCACCGGCUAACUACGUG
This 494-nucleotide ribosomal RNA is filed under the name uncultured bacterium. RNAcentral's name for it is "partial 16S ribosomal RNA". It matches the Rfam family "Bacterial small subunit ribosomal RNA", at positions 28 to 507 of the family's 1533-position model. The record is from RNAcentral.